CGCGGCCUAUCAGCUUGUUGGUGAGGUAAUGGCUCACCAAGGCGACGACGGGUAGCCGGCCUGAGAGGGCGACCGGCCACACUGGGACUGAGACACGGCCCAGACUCCUACGGGAGGCAGCAGUGGGGGAUAUUGCACAGUGGGCGAAAGCCUGAUGCAGCGACGCCGCGUGAGGGAUGACGGCCUUCGGGUUGUAAACCUCUUUCAGCAGGGAAGAAGCGAAAGUGACGGUACCUGCAGAAGAAGCGCCGGCUAACUACGUGCCAGCAGCCGCGGUAAUACGUAGGGCGCAAGCGUUGUCCGGAAUUAUUGGGCGUAAAGAGCUCGUAGGCGGCUUGUCACGUCGGGUGUGAAAGCCCGGGGCUUAACCCCGGGUCUGCAUUCGAUACGGGCUAGCUAGAGUGUGGUAGGGGAGAUCGGAAUUCCUGGUGUAGCGGUGAAAUGCGCAGAUAUCAGGAGGAACACCGGUGGCGAAGGCGGAUCUCUGGGCCAUUACUGACGCUGAGGAGCGAAAGCGUGGGGAGCGAACAGGAUUAGAUACCCUGGUAGUCCACGCCGUAAACGGUGGGAACUAGGUGUUGGCGACAUUCCACGUCGUCGGUGCCGCAGCUAACGCAUUAAGUUCCCCGCC
This 631-nucleotide ribosomal RNA is filed under the name uncultured bacterium. RNAcentral describes it as "bacterial SSU rRNA". It matches the Rfam family "Bacterial small subunit ribosomal RNA", at positions 232 to 873 of the family's 1533-position model. The record is from RNAcentral.